AGCGAACGCUGGCGGCAGGCUUAACACAUGCAAGUCGAGCGCCCCGCAAGGGGAGCGGCAGACGGGAGAGUAACACGUGGGAACAUACCUUUUGGUUCGGAACAACUGAGGGAAACUUCAGCUAAUACCGGAUAAGCCCUUACGGGGAAAGAUUUAUCGCCGAAAGAUUGGCCCGCGUCUGAUUAGCUAGUUGGUGAGGUAACGGCGCACCAAGGCGACGAUCAGUAGCUGGUCUGAGAGGAUGAUCAGCCUCACUGGGACUGAGACACGGCCCAGACUCCUACGGGAGGCAGCAGUGGGGAAUAUUGGACAAUGGGGGCAACCCUGAUCCAGCCAUGCCGCGUGAGUGAUGAAGGCCUUAGGGUUGUAAAGCUCUUUUGCCCGGGAAGAUAAUGACGGUACCGGGAGAAUAAGCCCCGGCUAACUUCGUG
Molecule: ribosomal RNA, 431 nt
Filed under: uncultured bacterium
Lineage: Bacteria
Description: partial 16S ribosomal RNA
Rfam family: Bacterial small subunit ribosomal RNA
Source: RNAcentral